AAAACCUAGUUCAUCAUUUUCUUCAAAUUGAAAGGUGAAUUAGGGCCAAAUCACAUGCAUGAACAUAAAUUAGUGAUCAUCUAAGCUUGGAGAUCAUAAGUUUAACUCUUGACAAGCUAGAUGGGAGCUUGGAACGAAAUGGAUCAAGCGGGUCAAAGACGCGAGAAAACAUGAUCGGACGCACGGCUUUCGCAAAGGUGUAAACCGGACGAAUGACCAAGCACGUGAAGAACCAAACACUAUUAAACUGCUAACUCUUUGGAAAGGAUUAUGAAAAGGUUGAAGCAUGAUCAUGCAAAACAAAGUUUUCGAGUUUAGAACUUUAAUGCUUUUAAGUGUAAUAGUUCGUUAUGUCGGGUCGUCUAGGUUAUCAGUUAACCCAAACGUAUAAGUUCUAUGUUUAAAAAAAUCUAUG
Long non-coding RNA from Helianthus annuus (common sunflower), 415 nucleotides. RefSeq lists it as uncharacterized. The record is from RefSeq and is a predicted model, not a curated record. The transcript has 3 exons. Lineage: Eukaryota; Viridiplantae; Streptophyta; Magnoliopsida; Asterales; Asteraceae.